This is a long non-coding RNA of Cygnus olor (mute swan), 538 nucleotides long. RefSeq lists it as uncharacterized. The transcript has 4 exons. The record is from RefSeq and is a predicted model, not a curated record. NCBI's taxonomy places the organism in Eukaryota, Metazoa, Chordata, Aves, Anseriformes, Anatidae.
GUGCAGCACACCGGGAGGCGCAGUUUUCCAGUACUGGACUUCCAGGUGUCCGCACUGGCAUGUAGGGCACGUACGGAAUCCUAGUUUUCUGGCACCGCACCUCCCGAGAGCAAUGCAGAUUUAUGAGAUAUGAGGGUUAAGGUGAUCUGGGGGGCAGCUUGCCACCCAUGAGGGCCCCAAGCUAAAGCAGCCUGCUCCCAAUAGAUGGACCCCACGACACUGACCCACACCUGGAGCAGCUCUUGAAGAGCCGCCAUCCAUGGAAAAGCCCACACAGGGGCAGCCCAUGAAGGACAGCACCCCUCAGGAAGGACCCCAGGCAGGAGCAGGGGAGAGAGUGACGGUGAAGGAGCAGACGAAACAAAGGGUAGAAGCAGCUGCCACUAGGAUUUGGUUUGUGGGGUUUGUUGCUGAGCAAAGGUGACACACCAGGUAAAAUGAGAAAAGUUGCAGCUGAUGUGCUGCAAUUACAGAUAGGAGAAAAGCUCUUUCCAGCGAGACGAAGAAGGAAUUAUACCUCUGCCUCAUCCCGUGAGAC